ACAACAUUAAAUGAGCUUUUUAGAACUCAUCAUUAAUUUGAGAGUUUGAUCCUGGCUCAGGACGAACGCUGGCGGCGUGCCUAAUACAUGCAAGUCGAACGAACUCUGGUAUUGAUUGGUGCUUGCAUCAUGAUUUACAUUUGAGUGAGUGGCGAACUGGUGAGUAACACGUGGGAAACCUGCCCAGAAGCGGGGGAUAACACCUGGAAACAGAUGCUAAUACCGCAUAACAACUUGGACCGCAUGGUCCGAGCUUGAAAGAUGGCUUCGGCUAUCACUUUUGGAUGGUCCCGCGGCGUAUUAGCUAGAUGGUGGGGUAACGGCUCACCAUGGCAAUGAUACGUAGCCGACCUGAGAGGGUAAUCGGCCACAUUGGGACUGAGACACGGCCCAAACUCCUACGGGAGGCAGCAGUAGGGAAUCUUCCACAAUGGACGAAAGUCUGAUGGAGCAACGCCGCGUGAGUGAAGAAGGGUUUCGGCUCGUAAAACUCUGUUGUUAAAGAAGAACAUAUCUGAGAGUAACUGUUCAGGUAUUGACGGUAUUUAACCAGAAAGCCACGGCUAACUACGUGCCAGCAGCCGCGGUAAUACGUAGGUGGCAAGCGUUGUCCGGAUUUAUUGGGCGUAAAGCGAGCGCAGGCGGUUUUUUAAGUCUGAUGUGAAAGCCUUCGGCUCAACCGAAGAAGUGCAUCGGAAACUGGGAAACUUGAGUGCAGAAGAGGACAGUGGAACUCCAUGUGUAGCGGUGAAAUGCGUAGAUAUAUGGAAGAACACCAGUGGCGAAGGCGGCUGUCUGGUCUGUAACUGACGCUGAGGCUCGAAAGUAUGGGUAGCAAACAGGAUUAGAUACCCUGGUAGUCCAUACCGUAAACGAUGAAUGCUAAGUGUUGGAGGGUUUCCGCCCUUCAGUGCUGCAGCUAACGCAUUAAGCAUUCCGCCUGGGGAGUACGGCCGCAAGGCUGAAACUCAAAGGAAUUGACGGGGGCCCGCACAAGCGGUGGAGCAUGUGGUUUAAUUCGAAGCUACGCGAAGAACCUUACCAGGUCUUGACAUACUAUGCAAAUCUAAGAGAUUAGACGUUCCCUUCGGGGACAUGGAUACAGGUGGUGCAUGGUUGUCGUCAGCUCGUGUCGUGAGAUGUUGGGUUAAGUCCCGCAACGAGCGCAACCCUUAUUAUCAGUUGCCAGCAUUAAGUUGGGCACUCUGGUGAGACUGCCGGUGACAAACCGGAGGAAGGUGGGGAUGACGUCAAAUCAUCAUGCCCCUUAUGACCUGGGCUACACACGUGCUACAAUGGAUGGUACAACGAGUUGCGAACUCGCGAGAGUAAGCUAAUCUCUUAAAGCCAUUCUCAGUUCGGAUUGUAGGCUGCAACUCGCCUACAUGAAGUCGGAAUCGCUAGUAAUCGCGGAUCAGCAUGCCGCGGUGAAUACGUUCCCGGGCCUUGUACACACCGCCCGUCACACCAUGAGAGUUUGUAACACCCAAAGUCGGUGGG
This 1500-nucleotide ribosomal RNA is filed under the name Lactiplantibacillus plantarum. RNAcentral describes it as "Lactobacillus plantarum partial 16S ribosomal RNA". It matches the Rfam family "Bacterial small subunit ribosomal RNA". Lineage: Bacteria; Bacillati; Bacillota; Bacilli; Lactobacillales; Lactobacillaceae. The record is from RNAcentral.